CUACGGGUGGCUGCAGUGGGGAAUAUUGCACAAUGGGCGCAAGCCUGAUGCAGCCAUGCCGCGUGUAUGAAGAAGGCCUUCGGGUUGUAAAGUACUUUCAGCGGGGAGGAAGGGAGUAAAGUUAAUACCUUUGCUCAUUGACGUUACCCGCAGAAGAAGCACCGGCUAACUCCGUGCCAGCAGCCGCGGUAAUACGGAGGUGCAAGCGUUAAUCGGAAUUACUGGACGUAAAGCGCACGCAGGCGGUUUGUUAAGUCAGAUGUGAAAUCCCCGGGCUCAACCUGGGAACUGCAUCUGAUACUGGCAAGCUUGAGUCUCGUAGAGGGGGGUAGAAUUCCAGGUGUAGCGGUGAAAUGCGUAGAGAUCUGGAGGGAUACCGGUGGCGAAGGCGGCCCCCUGGACGAAGACUGACGCUCGGGUGCGAAAGCGUGGGGAGCAAACAGGAUUAGAUACCCUCGUAGUC
Molecule: ribosomal RNA, 463 nt
Filed under: uncultured bacterium
Lineage: Bacteria
Description: partial 16S ribosomal RNA
Rfam family: Bacterial small subunit ribosomal RNA
Source: RNAcentral